GAAAAGUUUGAUUCUAGCUUUAGUUUUUUUAGUUAAAAUUUUGCACAUGUAAAAUGAGGCAGUGUUUUGUAUUGUAAAAAUUUUAUAAAGAUGCAAAAUUUUUAUUUCGGCGUAGAAAAAUUUGUGCCAGCGUCUGCGGUUAGACAAUAAGUGUUAAAUAAAUAGAAUGAAAUGAAAUAAUUUAAAAAAGAAAAAAAUUAAAUUAAUUAAGUUUAGGUAAAAUUAUUUUUAAUUAAAAUAAUUUUUAUUAAUUUAAUUUAAAAGUAAGAUUUAAGACUAGGAUUAGAUACCCUGUUAUUUUAAUUAAUUUUAAGGUAUUAGUAGGAUGAAACCUAAAGAAUUUGGCGGUAAUUAAUUCUUUCUAGAGGAAUCUGUUUCGUUAAUGACAGUUCACAAUUUAGUUACUUUUUUUUAGUUUAUAUACCGUUGUUGCCUAAGGUAAAUUAAAAUUUAGUUUUUUAAGUUUAAUAAAAUUAAAUUCAAAUCAAGGUUUAGUUUUUAAAAAAGAAGAAAAUGGAUUACAGUAAAAAAUUAUGCGGAUAUCAUGAAGAUGGAUUUAGAAGUAAUUUAUUUAAAAUUUUUGUUUUGAAUUUAGUUCUUAAUUAUGUACACAUCGCCCGUCGCUCUAGUUAUGAAAUUAGAUAAGUCGUAACAAAGUAGAAGUUCUGGAAAGAGUUUCUUGAGCUUU
Molecule: non-coding RNA, 688 nt
Filed under: Homidia koreana
Lineage: Eukaryota; Metazoa; Arthropoda; Collembola; Entomobryomorpha; Entomobryidae
Source: RNAcentral